RNAcentral lists this ribosomal RNA (567 nucleotides) under uncultured bacterium. RNAcentral describes it as "bacterial SSU rRNA". It matches the Rfam family "Bacterial small subunit ribosomal RNA", at positions 338 to 917 of the family's 1533-position model. The record is from RNAcentral.
CCUACGGGAGGCAGCAGUGGGGAAUUUUCCGCAAUGGGCGAAAGCCUGACGGAGCAAUACAGCGUGAGGGAAGACUGCCUAUGGGUUGUAAACCUCUUUUUUCAGGGAGGAAUAAAAUGACGUGUACCUGAAGAAUAAGCAUCGGCUAACUCCGUGCCAGCAGCCGCGGUAAGACGGAGGAUGCAAGUGUUAUCCGGAAUCACUGGGCGUAAAGCGUCUGUAGGUGGUUUAAUAAGUCAACUGUUAAAUCUUGAGGCUCAACUUCAAAAUCGCAGUCGAAACUAUUAGACUAGAGUAUAGUAGAGGUAAAGGGAAUUUCCAGUGGAGCGGUGAAAUGCGUAGAUAUUGGAAAGAACACCGAUGGCGAAAGCACUUUACUGGGCUAUUACUAACACUCAGAGACGAAAGCUAGGGUAGCAAAUGGGAUUAGAUACCCCAGUAGUCCUAGCCGUAAACUAUGGAUACUAGAUGUUGAACAGAUCGACCUGUGCAGUAUCAAAGCUAACGCGUUAAGUAUCCCGCCUGGGAAGUAUGCUCGCAAGAGUGAAACUCAAAUGAAUUGACGGA